Molecule: ribosomal RNA, 357 nt
Filed under: uncultured Bacteroidales bacterium
Lineage: Bacteria; Pseudomonadati; Bacteroidota; Bacteroidia; Bacteroidales
Description: bacterial SSU rRNA
Rfam family: Bacterial small subunit ribosomal RNA
Source: RNAcentral
GCUCAGGAUGAACGCUAGCUACAGGCUUAACACAUGCAAGUCGAGGGGUAGCAGGGUAGCAAUACCGCUGACGACCGGCGCACGGGUGAGUAACACGUAUCCAACCUUCCCAUAACUCGGGGAUAGCCUUUCGAAAGAAAGAUUAAUACCCGAUAGUACUUUUUUAGGGCAUCUUAGAAAAGUUAAAGAUUUAUUGGUUAUGGAUGGGGAUGCGUUCCAUUAGAUAGUUGGUGAGGUAACGGCUCACCAAGUCUUCGAUGGAUAGGGGUUCUGAGAGGAAGGUCCCCCACAUUGGUACUGAGACACGGACCAAACUCCUACGGGAGGCAGCAGUGAGGAAUAUUGGUCAAUGGGCGA